Corticium candelabrum is the source of this 1167-nucleotide long non-coding RNA. RefSeq lists it as uncharacterized. The transcript has 4 exons. NCBI's taxonomy places the organism in Eukaryota, Metazoa, Porifera, Homoscleromorpha, Homosclerophorida, Plakinidae. The record is from RefSeq and is a predicted model, not a curated record.
ACCGGUUUCUGCUCAAGUGACGUGAAUCAGCGUUUGCACACAGAUACUGCAGAAAGCCUAGGCUGUAUUUUAGGGUAUGACCACACAAUCGGGUAGUGUCGCUAUCUGAAGAAGAUCUCUGGAAAUCUCGAAGGCCUUUGUAGCAUGUGAAACGACACAUUUCUCGUCCUCCCGUUUUGCCGCAUUCUCCGGGUUUUGUGAGGACUUUCGCUGUAAUUCAGUUAUUUGUGCUACUAGAAUUCAGUUCGUGGGAGAUCCUACCGAUGUACGCCUCGCCGUAAUGGAAGAAUCGAGACCCAAAGACGGCGGAGUCAGCUGCUGGCACUGGGGACAGUCAUACAAGGGAGACUAAUGCAAAUGUGGAAUGGCACACUUGCACAUUAAAUGGUUGCAUUGGAGUUCAACUGGGAUGUUGACAACUUUUCACACAGGGUGCACUUGAACAAGUCAAACAGAUCAGUCAAUUUGAUUGCUGACUGACCUGUGAGAACAACCUGAUUCUUUUUCAAUUUUUGGGUGGUCUUCCUUAUUUCUUCUGUUGCUGACAACUGCAGCAGGUGUUGCAGUUUUCUGAGUGUACUAUCCACUCUCUGCAGAAAGGUACAAGAAUAGAGGCUCCUUGCCUCUUUGUAAAUCAAUGCAUCACUAGAUGGCAGCGGACACAGAAAUUGACAUUUGUACUGACGUCCUCUUGAUUGAACCUGGGGGCACAUAACCUGCGAAGCUCUCGUACGGAAAGGAUGUGAUGUGCCAUAUCCAUAGACUAGACUGACAACACUUGUAUACUGGUUAACUGUUUUUGUAUACAUCUUAUGUAGUGUAUGGAGUAAGGAAAGGGCAUGAGAGAGUGAUGAGGUAAAGAACUGCUACACGUGUACCAUUCAAAUUCAAGGAACCAGUGUUGGUACACCAUUAGCAAGUUUUUGUGGCAAAGUUUAUUUUACCAUAGAUAUGAUUUUACUUACAUUUCAAGUUGCUAAGAAUAAUUUCUCUAGGCACGUGACCUAGCCAGCUUGUCAUAUUUUAGUGCUACUUUAGUAUAAAAUGACCAUGCUUCCGUUCUCGUGUCACCAUAACUUAUUUGUCCGCGUUCCCUGUCUCUGACGUUGAUUAGGUCGUCGCUCGUACCAACCUGCAGUCGAUCCUUGCAAAUUAAGUUCUCCAGGA